GCUGGGGAGAUAGCGGUGCCCUGUACCUGCAAUCCGCUUUAGCAGGAGUGAUGGCUGGCCUAGGAUCGUUUUAGUUUGGGCUGCCCUUGGUAAGUGGCGUUGAGAUUUGGGUCUUGCGCGACAGGAAUCUGUGAACCGUGUCAGGUUGGGAACAAAGCAGCACUAAACAGAACCUCUCUGUGCGCCGCGAGGUUGCCUGGGUUGAGUCAACUGCUAAGGUAAC
RNAcentral lists this signal recognition particle RNA (223 nucleotides) under uncultured Eubacterium sp. RNAcentral's name for it is "Bacterial large signal recognition particle RNA". It matches the Rfam family "Bacterial large signal recognition particle RNA", at positions 9 to 227 of the family's 256-position model. Rfam says of the family: The signal recognition particle (SRP) is a universally conserved ribonucleoprotein involved in the co-translational targeting of proteins to membranes. Archaeal SRP consists of a 7S RNA and homologues of the eukaryotic SRP19 and SRP54 proteins. The record is from RNAcentral. Lineage: Bacteria; Bacillati; Bacillota; Clostridia; Eubacteriales; Eubacteriaceae.